GACGAACGCUGGCGGCGUGCUUAACACAUGCAAGUCGUACGACAGCAUUUCCUUUUAGGUUGUGUUUGGAGUGGCGAACGGGUGAGUAACACGUGAGUGACCUGCCCUUCACUUUGGGAUAACGUGCGGAAACGUGCGCUAAUACCAAAUAUUCGCAUUUCUGCUGCAUGGUGGGGUGUGGAAAGGGGGCCUUCGGGUUCGUGGUGGGGGAGUGGGCGUCGCGGCCUAUCAGCUGUGNGGUGGGGUGGAUGGCCUACCAAGGCGUGGACGGGUAGCCGGCCGUGAGAGGGUGGUUCGGUCACACUGAGACUGAGAUACGGCCCA
Molecule: ribosomal RNA, 324 nt
Filed under: uncultured bacterium
Lineage: Bacteria
Description: bacterial SSU rRNA
Rfam family: Bacterial small subunit ribosomal RNA
Source: RNAcentral